UAGACAACACUGUUUAUAUAUAUAUAUAUAAAUAUAUAUAUAUAUAUAUAUAUAUAUAUAUAUAUAUAUAUAUAUAAAUUUUAAUUGGGGUAGCCCCCAAAAUAUUGGAAAAUAUAAAAAAAGACAACUCUGUUCCGCAGAGUAGCUGUUGACAUUAUAGUUGCGCAGGAACUUUGUUGACUCUAGAGAAUCCAGUUUGGCAGUUUCUGCGCCUAAUAUGGUGACCACGGGUAACGGGGAAUCAGGGUUCCAUUCCAUACAGGGACCCUGAGAAACGACUACCACGUGCAAGGAAGGCAGCAGGCGCGCAAAUGACCCACUCCCGAUGCGGGAAGGUAGUGA
Pelobates cultripes (western spadefoot toad) is the source of this 342-nucleotide non-coding RNA. The record is from the annotation of a GenBank genome assembly. NCBI's taxonomy places the organism in Eukaryota, Metazoa, Chordata, Amphibia, Anura, Pelobatidae.